GGAAAUAUUAAGUAUAAAUUAGAAUCUUGUUUUUGGAGACAUUUUGGUUCAAAGAGGACAGUGCUGAGUUUGCAUUCUACUCUAGAACUGUGUGACAUACAUUCCAAAUUCAAAGGGUAGUAGCCAGCCUUCCGCCAGAGAAAGGCAACGACAUUGCCAAUUCUUUGCGAGGAUUCUGGGAGCAGUAACCUUGGAGCUCUGUGUAGGCGGCCGGGCUUCCGCUACAGGAGGGCGUGGCUGUGACGAUUAUCUCAUUGGGAAUUCUGGGGUUAUAAUCCAGGAAUUGUGGGUAACUACAGUCACUUCCGCUCCAUGAAAGUGAGGUCAUCAUUCCUUUCAGGAAGUUGAGUGAGGCCUGAGACAGCAAUGUUUCGUUUAGCCUGGCGGCGGCCCUCCUUGUCUUCGAGAAGAGCAUCCGCGGCUAGCAGUGGAAGAUGGGGUUGGGCCCCAGAUGGUCACAGGAAUGAGGAAAGAAUGACUCUUUGGCUCCUAGCAGCAGAACCUUAACUGAGUGUGACUUAGCAUCCUUCUUCUUGCCGUGUCAUCUCUCUUCUCAGGGCAGAAGAUAUUUACUAAUUAGCACAUUCUGCUAGCACGUCUGUGGGAAGAGAGAUGCAGUCUUACUGUGUUGCCCAGGAUGGUCUCAAACUCCUGGCUACAAGCUAUCCUCCUGCCUCUGUCUCCCAAAGUGCUGGGGUUACAAGCGAGAGCCACCAGGCCUGGCCUAAUUGCUUCUUAACAACUUACUAUUCUUUGUUCACUACAGUGUAUACAUAACUGACUGUUUCUUUGGAGCUUCAUUUUGUAAUGAAGGCUCUGGUCACGUGUAAAACUUGUAUUAAAUAAAUUUGCAUGCUUUUCUCCUGUUAA
Molecule: long non-coding RNA, 870 nt
Filed under: Homo sapiens (human)
Lineage: Eukaryota; Metazoa; Chordata; Mammalia; Primates; Hominidae
Description: HSALNT0398172
Source: RNAcentral